This 198-nucleotide unclassified non-coding RNA is filed under the name uncultured fungus. RNAcentral describes it as "partial contains 5.8S rRNA and ITS2". The record is from RNAcentral. Lineage: Eukaryota; Fungi.
AACGCACCUUGCGCUCUAUGGCAAUCCGUAGAGCAUGUCUGAUUGAGUGCCAUGAAAUCUCACACCACAAGCGGUUUUUAUGAAACGGCUUGGCGGACGGGGUCUUGAUGGGCGCGGCUGCCUGUGCUUGACUGCCUCUGUGCACAUCCCGAUUUCACUUCUGGUCACAAAUCAGGUAGGAUCACCCGCUGAACUUAA